Molecule: long non-coding RNA, 453 nt
Organism: Poecilia latipinna (sailfin molly)
Lineage: Eukaryota; Metazoa; Chordata; Actinopteri; Cyprinodontiformes; Poeciliidae
Exons: 3
Source: RefSeq, a predicted model, not a curated record
CCCGGAAAUAGCUUCGUUUGAAUAUCUGAACUGGUGAAAUUUUUUGACACUGAAAAUUACAAGCUAGGAUAGAUAUGACAACUGAGACAGGAACACCGUGUGUGCACCCACUACGAACCACGUCACUUUGAUGUUUGGCUGUCUGGUCCUGCUGAUGUCAUAUGCAGCCUCUGACAAGACCCCUGGUGAGUUGAGUGAUGCAGAAGAAACCAAGGUCAGGAAGAAGAAGCAAGAAUCAACGGCACUAAGCUUCCUCCCACUGCGAUAUCUGGGCCUGACAGACUGCCAAGUCAGAGGGAGGUAACCCUCCCUUCAUCUCAUUUAGGAAGACAUUACACCAAGCCAUGUUGAGAGAGCACCUGAGCUUUAAGGAGGUUCGUGUCUCCAGUGGUCAUUGGACGAGAAAAGGGUUACACUCUACUGGUCGCCAUACCAAGCUAAAGGAAUGAAUGC